CCCUACGGGGCGCAGCAGUAGGGAAUCUUCGGCAAUGGGCGAAACCCUGAUGCAGCAACGCCGCGUGAGUGAUGACGGCCUUCGGGUUGUAAAGCUCUGUCUUCAGGGACGAUAAUGACGGUACCUGAGGAGGAAGCCACGGCUAACUACGUGCCAGCAGCCGCGGUAAUACGUAGGUGGCGAGCGUUGUCCGGAUUUACUGGGCGUAAAGGGAGCGUAGGCGGAUUUUUAAGUGAGAUGUGAAAUACUCGGGCUCAACUUGAGUGCUGCAUUUCAAACUGGAAGUCUAGAGUGCAGGAGAGGAG
This 305-nucleotide ribosomal RNA is filed under the name uncultured bacterium. RNAcentral's name for it is "bacterial SSU rRNA". It matches the Rfam family "Bacterial small subunit ribosomal RNA", at positions 337 to 659 of the family's 1533-position model. The record is from RNAcentral.